AGUGAACGCUGGCGGUAGGCCUAACACAUGCAGGUCGAACGGCAGCACAGUAAGAGCUUGCUCUUACGGGUGGCGAGUGGCGGACGGGUGAGGAAUACAUCGGAAUCUACUUUUUCGUGGGGGAUAACGUAGGGAAACUUACGCUAAUACCGCAUACGACCUACGGGUGAAAGCAGGGGAUCUUCGGACCUUGCGCGAUUGAAUGAGCCGAUGUCGGAUUAGCUAGUUGGCGGGGUAAAGGCCCACCAAGGCGACGAUCCGUAGCUGGUCUGAGAGGAUGGUCAGCCACACUGGAACUGAGACACGGUCCAGACUCCUACGGGAGGCAGCAGUGGGGAAUAUUGGACAAUGGGCGCAAGCCUGAUCCAGCCAUACUGCGUGGGUGAAGAAGGCCUUCGGGUUGUAAAGCCCUUUUGUUGGGAAAGAAAAGCAGCAGGUUAAUACCCCGCUGUUCUGACGGUACCCAAAGAAUAAGCACCGGCUAACUUCGUG
RNAcentral lists this ribosomal RNA (492 nucleotides) under uncultured bacterium. RNAcentral's name for it is "partial 16S ribosomal RNA". It matches the Rfam family "Bacterial small subunit ribosomal RNA", at positions 29 to 507 of the family's 1533-position model. The record is from RNAcentral.